RNAcentral lists this ribosomal RNA (478 nucleotides) under uncultured bacterium. RNAcentral describes it as "bacterial SSU rRNA". It matches the Rfam family "Bacterial small subunit ribosomal RNA", at positions 791 to 1267 of the family's 1533-position model. The record is from RNAcentral.
UAGUCCACACCGUAAACGCUGCCUACUAGCUGUUUGUGAGUUUAACUCGUGAGUAGCGAAGCUAACGCGCUAAGUAGACCGCCUGGGGAGUACGGUCGCAAGAUUAAAACUCAAAUGAAUUGACGGGGGCCCGCACAAGCGGUGGAGCAUGUGGUUUAAUUCGAAGCAACGCGAAGAACCUUACCUACUCUUGAAAUCCAGUGAAUUUAGCAGAGAUGCUUUAGUGCCUUCGGGAACACUGAGACAGGUGCUGCAUGGCUGUCGUCAGCUCGUGUUGUGAAAUGUUGGGUUAAGUCCCGUAACGAGCGCAACCCCUAUCCUUAGUUGCCAGCGAGUAAUGUCGGGGACUCUAAGGAGACUGCCGGUGACAAACCGGAGGAAGGCGGGGACGACGUCAAGUCAUCAUGGCCUUACGAGUAGGGGCUACACACGUGCUACAAUGGGCGCAUACAGACGGUUGCGAAGUCGCAAGAUGGGA